UUCCGGUGAUCAUGCAGAACAUGACUGCUAUCGGACUGAUACUAAGCCAUGCGAGUCAUUGUAGCAAUACAAGGCAGACGGCUCAGUAACACGUAGUCAAUCUAACCUAUGGACGAGGAUAACUCGGGAAACUGAGAAUAAUACUCGAUAGACCAUAAUGCCUGGAACGGUUUAUGGUUCAAAUGAAUUUCGCCAUAGGGUGGGACUGCGGUCUAUCAGCUUGUUGGUGAGGUAAUGGCCCACCAAGGCUAUAACAGAUACGGGCUCUGAGAGGAGAAGCCCGGAGAUGGGUACUGAGACACGGACCCAGGCCCUAUGGGGCGCAGCAGGCGAGAAAACUUUGCAAUGUGCGAAAGCACGACAAGGUUAAUCCGAGUGAUUCCUGCUAAAGGAAUCUUUUGUUAGUCGUAACACCACUGAUGAAUAAGGGGUGGGCAAGUUCUGGUGUCAGCCGCCGCGGUAAAACCAGCACCUCAAGUGGUCAGGAGGAUUAUUGGGCCUAAAGCAUCCGUAGCCGGCUCUGUAAGUUUUCGGUUAAAUCUAUAUGCUCAACAUAUGGGCUGCCGGGAAUACUGCAGAGCUAGGAAGUGGGAGAGGUAGACGGUACUCCGUAGGAAGGGGUAAAAUCCUUUGAUCUAUGGAUGACCACCUGUGGCGAAGGCGGUCUACCAGAACACGUUCGACGGUGAGGGAUGAAAGCUGGGGGAGCAAACCGGAUUAGAUACCCGGGUAGUCCCAGCUGUAAACUAUGCAAACUCAGUGAUGCAUUGGCUUGUGGCCAGUGCAGUGCCGCAGGGAAGCCGUUAAGUUUGCCGCCUGGGAAGUACGUACGCAAGUAUGAAACUUAAAGGAAUUGGCGGGGGAGCACCACAAGGGGUGAAGCCUGCGGUUCAAUUGGAUUCAACGCCGGG
RNAcentral lists this ribosomal RNA (911 nucleotides) under uncultured archaeon. RNAcentral describes it as "bacterial SSU rRNA". It matches the Rfam family "Archaeal small subunit ribosomal RNA", at positions 1 to 922 of the family's 1478-position model. The record is from RNAcentral.